Molecule: ribosomal RNA, 462 nt
Filed under: Capnocytophaga granulosa
Lineage: Bacteria; Pseudomonadati; Bacteroidota; Flavobacteriia; Flavobacteriales; Flavobacteriaceae
Description: bacterial SSU rRNA
Rfam family: Bacterial small subunit ribosomal RNA
Source: RNAcentral
GAUGAACGCUAGCGGCAGGCCUAACACAUGCAAGUCGAGGGAGAAGCCCUUCGGGGCAGAAACCGGCGCACGGGUGCGUAACGCGUAUGCAACCUACCUUUCACAGGGGGAUAGCCCGAAGAAAUUUGGAUUAAUACCCCAUAAUAUUAUUGGGUGGCAUCAUUUGAUAAUUAAAAUUACGAUGGUGAAAGAUGGGCAUGCGUCCUAUUAGCUAGUUGGAGUGGUAACGGCACCCCAAGGCUACGAUAGGUAGGGGUCCUGAGAGGGAGAUCCCCCACACUGGUACUGAGACAGGGACCAGACUCCUACGGGAGGCAGCAGUGAGGAAUAUUAGUCAAUGGUCGGAAGACUGAACCAGCCAUGCCGCGUGCAGGAAGAAUGCCUUAUGGGUUGUAAACUGCUUUUAUAUGGGAAGAAUAAGGAGUACGUGUACUUUGAUGACGUACCAUAUGAUAAGCUUCG